RNAcentral lists this long non-coding RNA (2635 nucleotides) under Helianthus annuus (common sunflower). Lineage: Eukaryota; Viridiplantae; Streptophyta; Magnoliopsida; Asterales; Asteraceae. The record is from RNAcentral.
UAUUCUCUUUGGCCAGAGAAUUGUGAUUUUGGGCGGCAAAUCCUUUUCCUCAUUUCUCAGCCAUUUUGUUAAAGCGCUGUUAUGCUCUUCAAUAUGGAAACUCCAAUCAAUUAGCAAUCAGUUGAAUUCUUCUCCAAUACGUUUCAAUCAAUCCUUAAAACCCUAAAACCUAAAUCACUGCCGUUAUCAAUUUUGGCGAUUACACAUCAAAGGACGAAUUUCAUUCUGUGUUCAUAUUUUCUUAUAUCAGUUUCCUCUUCAUUUGAUUUCAACAGUUCUCAAUCAGAUCACAUCAAAUCGGAUCAAAUCGGAUCAGAUCGGAAGACUCUGUUGUACAGUGUUAACAAUGAUAAGGAAUACGAUCUGUACGUGGAUUUUGGAGAUGUAUGUCUAAACCAGCAUGGCAGCCGAAAGAUCGCCCGCUUGCUUGCAAACAAGCAAGAAGAAUCCAGCUAAAGUUCCUAAACGGAUUCACAAAGCUGAAAGGGAAAAAGUAAAGCGUGAACAUUUGAAUGAACUCUUUCUUGAGUUGGCUGGUGCACUUGAACUCACAGAACAAAACAGUGGGAAAGCCUCGGUAUUAGGCGAAACCACUCGAGUUGUAAAGGACAUGAUUGAUCAUUGAUGAAACGUGUACGCUACAAUAACAAAUCAGUGAACUACAGAGCAUGAUAAAAGAGAGAAAUGUCCAAACAAACCUUGAUCUGAAUGCACCCGCGAUCGAAUUGCAAGAACCGCAAUUCCCGACUUAUUUUCCAUUGGAGUGGCUGCAGUUGUAUACAUGGAUUGUGGAUUUAACUAACAACAUAUGUUGAUGGUAUGGCUUACGUUGACAAAAGUCUUCACAAUCUUCCUUCGGCAGUAGCUCCGGUUCAUUAAAACGCAGCCGGGUGACAAGAUCGGUUCUGGUGACGAAAAUGUUGGUUGUAAUAAAAGCGGAUCCGUUCAAUUUGGCUGAAAAAUAGCUUGAUGGUGUUACCGACGAUUGCAGACGUGGACAAUGAGAGGUUCUAGGGUGUUAAACGGAAUGCUGACGUCUCAAGAGUGGUGCAUGUCAAAUGAUUUUACUAAAGAGUAGGUUAUCGAUCUAAGGUUAGGGUUCAGAUCAUCGUUUUCAGCAGUUAAGUGGAAGGAUAAGGAAGAAAGACUCCUGAUUUGGGCUUCCAUGACUCCACAAAAGUAUGAUGUUGCAAAAAACAUUGAAAGAUUUGGGCAAACAUAAAUGUCAAUCGUCCAGGUCAAAAGCUUAUAGUGGAAUUUGUAAAGAUUCAAAGUGAUGGUACGCUGGAAGUGGAUUAACAUGCCAAAAGAGCUGGUUACUUCAGGCCUAUAGCGGGAUUAACAUGCCAAAAUACAUAUCACAGCUGGUGAAGUCUUUCAAGUGGUUUAAGUACAAAAAAUUCAACAAGUGGAAGGCUGGGGCUGAUGUUACGACAAUGGUUCAGGUUAUACAGGGCUCUUAUGUCACACCCCCAAAAUCCACCUGCGGAUAACACCCGCUUCGAGGGCGUGACUGACCAGGAUCCAGCCACCAAUUAUACUGAAUAAUUAAGUUGAUAACAAAAGUAAUACUUACUAACCAUAGGAUUAGCAAAUAUCAAGUUCAGAGUUUAAGGUUUCAAGUUCAAACAGUAAUAAGUAGCGGAAGCAUAAGUAAAGUAGUAGUUAAACAAGUUCAUAGUUCAAAAUAAGGUAACACCCAACACAAGGGUGGACAGACACUACUCGUUCCCAAGCGGCAAGCUCCUUCGUCAAUGGUUACCUGCAAAGCAUGCAGUAAGGGGUCAACAAUAAUGCUGAGUGAGUUCACUAGUUGUCCAGUUUUAGUUUACCAAAAACUUAAGUUGUUUAGAUAAAGCAUUUAUAAUCACGUUGUGGGGAGCUACCCCAUCUGUAAGCUCACUAAACUGUGGAUACCGAAACUGUUGACGGAAUAUAAAUAUUCGUGCCCCGAGUCAAUGUCUAUCGUCAUUGACCAUGUUGCAAGGUCUACUAGUUCACGCCCGAUCCCCCCGGUCACGGUGUGAGGUUGUCAAACCUAAUAGCGCUAUCAACUAAUAACCCGUUCGGCCCCGGCGAUUAAUCGGUACUGUAAGCAGGGACUUAAGGUGAUAGAGUUUCGUUUAGUCUGGCUAGUUGUGAUUUAUAAAUAAUAUCCAAACGUAUCUCCCCCGGAGAUAGUAAUUACCCAUUCUGUUUCCCCCGGAGUAAUGGGUCAAAAGUGUUUUUCCCAAAGUUGGUAGUUUGUUCGUGUCCCUCUGCGGGACGCAUGCUUUUAGUGUGUGAACUCACCUUGGGUUGCUCGGCAGAUUAGGUCACUUGUCAAAUACGUUGGUCACCACGUCCUAACAUGGUUACCAGUAUAGGUCAGGUUUGGUGUACAAGCAUUCACGUAAAAACUUACACAUAACUAACACGUAUCAUGCAUACAAGUACCCAGUGGGUUACUGGGCCGGCCUUAUCAUUUACGAAAUCAAACAGUAACACAUAGUCCAGUCAACAGAUAGCCCAUAUUACACAUAUCGGCCCAAUAACCAAAAUGGACAGCCCACUCGCAACCAGGCGGUCUCGAGUCGCAACCAGGAGGUCUCGGCUUGUCACGUUGUGGUUGCGAGUCGCAAUGGCGUGGUCUCGA